AACAUCGCGCACCUGCGGGAACCUGCGGAAGGAUCAUUAUCGAGUUUUGACUGGGUUGUAGCUGGCCUUUCCGAGGCAUCGUGCACGCCCUGCUCAUCCACUCUACACCUGUGCACUUACUGUGGGUUAUGGAUCGUGUGGAACGAGCUCUUUGACGAGUUUGUGAAGCACAUCUGUGCCUGCGUUUUACCACAAACACUACAAAGUAUUAGAAUGUGUAUUGCGAUGUAACGCAUCUAU
This 240-nucleotide unclassified non-coding RNA is filed under the name soil metagenome. RNAcentral's name for it is "partial contains 5.8S ribosomal RNA, internal transcribed spacer 2, and large subunit ribosomal RNA". The record is from RNAcentral.